AGUGAACGCUGGCGGUAGGCCUAACACAUGCAAGUCGAACGGCAGCACAGUAAGAGCUUGCUCUUACGGGUGGCGACUGGCGGACGGGUGAGGAAUACAUCGGAAUCUACUUUUUCGUGGGGGAUAACGUAGGGAAACUUACGCUACUACCGCAUACGACCUACGGGUGAAAGCAGGGGAUCUUCGGACCUUGCGCGAUUGAAUGAGCCGAUGUCGGAUUAGCUAGUUGGCGGGGUAAAGGCCCACCAAGGCGACGAUCCGUAGCUGGUCUGAGAGGAUGAUCAGCCACACUGGAACUGAGACACGGUCCAGACUCCUACGGGAGGCAGCAGUGGGGAAUAUUCGACAAUGGGCGCAAGCCUGAUCCAGCCAUACCGCGUGGGUGAAGAAGGCCUUCGGGUUGUAAAGCCCUUUUGUUGGGAAAGAAAAGCAGCAGGUUAAUACCCCGCUGUUCUGACGGUACCCAAAGAGUAAGCACCGGCUAACUUCGUG
Molecule: ribosomal RNA, 492 nt
Filed under: uncultured bacterium
Lineage: Bacteria
Description: partial 16S ribosomal RNA
Rfam family: Bacterial small subunit ribosomal RNA
Source: RNAcentral